RNAcentral lists this ribosomal RNA (476 nucleotides) under uncultured bacterium. RNAcentral describes it as "partial 16S ribosomal RNA". It matches the Rfam family "Bacterial small subunit ribosomal RNA", at positions 28 to 523 of the family's 1533-position model. The record is from RNAcentral.
GACGAACGCUGGCGGCGUGCUUAACACAUGCAAGUCGAGCGGUAAGGCCCUUCGGGGUACACGAGCGGCGAACGGGUGAGUAACACGUGGGUGACCUGCCCUCCACUCUGGGAUAAGCCUGGGAAACUGGGUCUAAUACCGGAUAUGACCACGGGAUGCAUGUCUUGUGGUGGAAAGUUUUUUCGGUGGGGGAUGGGCCCGCGGUCUAUCAGCUUGUUGGUGGGGUGAUGGCCUACCAAGGCGACGACGGAUAGCCGGCCUGAGAGGGUGAUCGGCCACACUGGGACUGAGACACGGCCCAGACUCCUACGGGAGGCAGCAGUGGGGAAUAUUGCACAAUGGGCGAAAGCCUGAUGCAGCAACGCCGCGUGAGGGAUGAAGGCUCUAGGGUCGUAAAGCUCUGUCGUAUGGGAAGAAAAAAAUGACGGUACCAUACAAGAAAGGACCGGCCAACUUCGUGCCAGCAGCCGCCGUAA